This 4050-nucleotide long non-coding RNA is filed under the name Sus scrofa (pig). Its description in RNAcentral is "lncRNA (ENSSSCG00025036915.1)". The record is from RNAcentral. Lineage: Eukaryota; Metazoa; Chordata; Mammalia; Artiodactyla; Suidae.
UUUUUUUUUUUUUUUUUUUUUUUUUUUGCUUCUCUGCCAAAGUGUGUAACAUAUUUGUUUGGGACUAAACGCUACAAUGUAAUAUCAGGAGAUGGCAGUAGGCUGGAAAAGGUCUUCAGAUAGAGAGACAGCAGAUUAAAUGAGAAAGCAAUCAAUUUGGAGCCAGGAGGUCUGGGUCAGGAUUCUGUGCUGCCACUUACUCAUCAUGAUAAGCUCUGGCCCUUAGUUCCCUGAUCCGCACAGCAGAGGAUGGGAAAGGUUGUCUGCGGGUUUCCUUUUGGUUCUAGAAUUACGAGAUUUUAGGUACCUUAUGAGGGUACUUGAGGAUGAAGUUAAAUGUUGACUUGUACUAUUAUUUUUCUUCUGAUGAACUCAAGUUCCCUAUUCCAAAUUACAAGGUUUAUCCUAAAUUGCUUACCCUCAAUCAACAGACAAGUGUUUUUUAUUCAGCACACAUUCAUUGAAUGUUUUUUAUGGGUCAGGUAACUAUACAAAACCCUAGAAUAAUAAAAAUAAAUGAGACGUGUUUCCUGUCCGCAAGUAAUUAGGAUGCCCCUGUGAUCAAUGUCGCAGUAGAGGAAGGGAUGACGUGCCGUACAGCUCAGAAGGAAGCGGCAUUUGAACAGGUCCUGGAAGAUGUGUUCGCCAGGUAGAAAACCGGUUGAAGGAGGUAACAGGACCCUCAGGCAGAUGGAGCAGCAUGUGCUGAGUCAGAGAGUUAGGGAGAUGCAUCGUGUUUGAGUAGAGCUUCAGGACCGAGUUAAGCUUUCCAGGGCUAAACACAGGGAACAAACGGUGGGAGAGGCAGAGCAUUGACCAGACAGAGGAAAAGGGACGAGAUGUCUGGAAGGGGGAUGAGGGAUUAGGGGGUUAACAUGUUGCUAACACUACCUCGGGCCUUCUUGACAAGUUGACGAACAAUUCCUCGUGUUUUUGAGCCUCCUAUAUACUGAGAUUUGCUUGCACUCCUACCCAGCUAUUAAGCAGAACAAUCAGAAAGUCAGUCUUUGUUUAUGGGGCAUUUACCCCUUACUAAACCUUAUUCUCAACAUCCAAGGUUUACCAACAUCAAAUUUUUUUUUUCUGAAAAUUGAUCUCAGUCUAAUGUUUGUAGAACAAACCUCUUAUAAAAAAUGUUUUUGGCUAUAAGGCGAAGGAGUAGGUUUUUAACAGGAAAUCACAGAUACAUUUUUAAUGGUAAACAAUACCUUCUUCGCAUCUAGAAUAUCACAUUUCACCUCAAAAUCCCACAUCAAAUCAUUUCAUCUAUCGAAAGGGCAAAAUGGGAUGAUGGCUUGGAAGCUGCUUUUCUGAAAACUUUAAAGUUCUAGAUUAUUUUGAAUAAUUAUUAAAAUUUAUGUCUCAGUCUCAGCCCCCUUCCUCCCCCCCAAUUAUGGGGCAGGAUGAGAACUGUAUGUCAACUUGGAAUCAGACUGUUUCGAGCCAUUUAAUUUAGACACUUAUUGUUUUAAUAUAAGCACUUUCGCUUUGGCAGUCAGCAUACAAUCUUAAUUAGCACUUGGAACACAGCAGAAUAGGUUGAUGAGGUAGACGACACAGAGAAAUAUGUUCGUAAUGGCCUGCCUGGGGACUCUGGCAGCAACCAGGAAAGGCGCUUCCAGCAUAAUGCUCGAGGCUUCUGAGAAAUCAUCUCCACUGGCACUUACACUGUUGUACAUUUAAUCACUUCAGUGUUUUGAACUGGCAAAAUAUUGGCGUGAGUUGCUUGGUCAUCUGAACUACGCUCAGAGAGAAUAUUAAUUUCUUAAGGUUAUUCUGAUGCAGCAACUGAUGGAUGAGAAAACUAAACUCAUUUUCUACAUCUGCCCAGGGUUCAUUUCCCAACUUUGCUGGUCAAACUCUUACUCAUCCUUUAAACCCUAGUUGGAAUAUCCCCCCUCACAUCUCUCCUAACCUCCUUUUCCCCCAUGGCCCGUCUCUUUUCUGCAUAUGCCAAUUGACUAUGCACCUACAGCUGCAUGACUGCACUAUGUUGUUAUUUUUUAAUGCAUUGUUGCCUCUCAACGCCAGAGCUGUAGGAAUUGUAUCUCCAUGUUUGCAUUUUGGUUGUGUCUAAAAGACACUGCAUGGUGAAGUAAAAAGAACAUGCACUUUAUAGUUAAACUGUUUUACAUUUAAUCUUAGCUGCUACUUACUUUCUGUGGGAACUUGGGCAAGUUACCUAAUUUCUUUGUGCUUCUUUAAGUAAGGGCAGUAAUGCCUGCUGUGCAGGGUUGCUGUGAAGAUUAAAUAUGAUCCGUCCACCUAUUUAACAAAUACACAGGUCCGAUUACACAUUAGUCACUAGGUACUGAGAAUAUAAUGGUGAAUAAGGCGUGAUCCUGUCCUGAGAAUGUUAUAAUUUAUUGAAAGAGAUAAGAAAACAGACAAUUGCAAUAUAUUUUUUUUUUCUUGGCCACCCUGGCCAGGGAUCAAAUCCAAGCUGCAGUUGUGACCUACGCUGCAGCUAUAGCAACACAGGAUCCUUUUACCCACUCCAAUGGGCUGGGGAUCGAACCUGUGUCCCAGAGACACUGCCAAUCCCAGAGAUGCUGCCAAUCCCCAUUGCGCCACAGCAGGAACUCCAAUUGCAAUAUAAUUCUUGAAGGAUGACUAGGAAUUCACAAGCACAGGGAUUCUUGGGGUUGGAUGAAGGCAGCAGGACUUGGGGUGGAAGGGGAAGCAUGUGGGGUGCUCUUGAGCCAGAGAGAAGAUGGCAAGUCCAAGACACUGAACCAUCACAGGGCAGAGGCCGUGAGGUUGAGGCUGGAGAAGCAGUCGCCACGAGGGUCCCUGCAAGCCAGGCAUGGGGCAGGAGGAAACUUUAAAGAACGAAUCAUCAGAUUAGCGUUUCAGGAAGAACUUCCUUGGCUGUGUGUGAGGUGGUUUGAGACAGUCAAGGGGACCAGCGUGACCAGUUAUGAGACUGUUGCCCAGAGGUGACGGUGGCCUUCAGAGCAGGAAUCACUGUGGGAAUGGAGUGAUGAAAACACGCUGAGAUAUUCAGGAGCUGGAAAAGGCAGGCUGUGAUCUGAUGUCGUGGUGGGGAAAAGGUAGGAGGGAAGUCAGGGAGAGGAAGCAGAGAAGUGGUUUGGGAUGUUAGGUGGGGAAAGAAAAGUAAGUCCAGCUUGGAAGCUGGGGUUUGAAGUAACCAUUGGGGAGUGUGGCACAUUUUGACUCCAUCAUCUUAACGCCUGUGUAUUUGGACCCUGAUGGUUUUGUUGUUUGGUUUUGUGGCUUUUUUUGUCCUGGAAUGUAAAUAUUUCUGUUAGGAUGAUAUCAAAACUGAUGAAUUCUGUGGCAAAGAUUUAUUCCAGGAUGAACUCCACUGAAGCAAUUGAAUUCCUUGGUCCAUUUUCCAAAACAGUGUAGUAAAACUGUUUCUUCCUGGUUGUUUCCACUUUCGUUUUUGUUUUACCAACAUGAUUUCCAUCAGGAUAAAGUCUUUCUUCCUUGUACAAGGAAGGCUUGAUUUUUUUUCAACUUCUUUUUCUUCAUCUUUGUCAAAUUUUUAUGGAUUAUAGCUUUUUUCUAUGGCAAGUUUCCUUCUAGGUCCACAGUUUCUACCCUGUCAAACUUUAUGCAUGUAAACUUUAAUCAGAUCUUUUUGAUUUUUCGUUAACCUGUAGGCAAUAUAAUUUUUCACCAUUUGCUGUUUUUUUGGUUGUUGUUAUUGUUAUUGUUCACUGUCUUUUACUUUUCUCUUUUAACCAAGCCCAAUAUUUUCUGAAACAAUUUUUGCAGUUUUUAAAUUUAGCAAUGAUACGGGACCCUCAAGUCGGCUUUUCAACUAUAGCAAAAUUUACUCUGCAUCAUUUUGGCCCUUGUCAAUUUCAUUUUGGUCCUUAAACUCAAACUGCCUCCCAAUGACAGAAUCAAACUGGCAUAUAUAUACAUAUAAAUUUUUUUUUUUUAAAGGAGUCCUCUGGCAGCUCAGUAGGUUAAGGAUCCAGCAUUGUCACUGUUGUGGUGUGGGUUUGAUCCCAGGCCUGGGAAGUUUUGCAUGCUGCAGGCAUGGCUUAAAAAAAAAAAAAAAAAAAAAAAAAAAAA